Molecule: unclassified non-coding RNA, 255 nt
Filed under: uncultured Fusicolla
Lineage: Eukaryota; Fungi; Ascomycota; Sordariomycetes; Hypocreales; Nectriaceae
Description: sequence contains ITS2
Rfam family: 5.8S ribosomal RNA (bases 1-52)
Source: RNAcentral
AACGCACAUUGCGCCCGCCAGUAUUCUGGCGGGCAUGCCUGUUCGAGCGUCAUUUCAACCCUCAAGCCCCCGGGCUUGGUGUUGGGGCUCGGCCCGUCCCUCGUGGCGCGCCGUCCCCGAAAUCCAGUGGCGGUCACGCUGUACUCCUCUGCGUAGUAAUCCAACCUCGCAACGGGACAAAGCCUGGCCACGCCGUUAAACCCCCCACUUCUGAAGGUUGACCUCGGAUCAGGUAGGAAUACCCGCUGAACUUAA